CUGGAGACCUCGGGGUGUUCCUGUGGGCCGCUGGCCCGUGCGAACUGAGACGCUGUGCGAACCCGUUGAACCUGAACCGGCUAGAACCGGCGGAGGGAAGGAUUGCACGACAUUG
RNAcentral lists this non-coding RNA (115 nucleotides) under Roseovarius nubinhibens ISM. RNAcentral's name for it is "TPP riboswitch aptamer (THI element)". It matches the Rfam family "TPP riboswitch aptamer (THI element)". From Rfam's summary of the family: Vitamin B(1) in its active form thiamin pyrophosphate (TPP) is an essential coenzyme that is synthesised by coupling of pyrimidine and thiazole moieties in bacteria. The previously detected thiamin-regulatory element, thi box was extended, resulting in a new, highly conserved RNA secondary structure, the THI element, which is widely distributed in eubacteria and also occurs in some archaea. Analysis of operon structures identified a large number of new candidate thiamin-regulated genes, mostly transporters, in various prokaryotic organisms. RNAcentral also lists the same sequence under 1 other name. The record is from Rfam by way of RNAcentral. Lineage: Bacteria; Pseudomonadati; Pseudomonadota; Alphaproteobacteria; Rhodobacterales; Roseobacteraceae.